This 2906-nucleotide ribosomal RNA is filed under the name Escherichia coli. Its description in RNAcentral is "23S ribosomal RNA". It matches the Rfam family "Bacterial large subunit ribosomal RNA". The record is from RNAcentral. Lineage: Bacteria; Pseudomonadati; Pseudomonadota; Gammaproteobacteria; Enterobacterales; Enterobacteriaceae.
GGUUAAGCGACUAAGCGUACACGGUGGAUGCCCUGGCAGUCAGAGGCGAUGAAGGACGUGCUAAUCUGCGAUAAGCGUCGGUAAGGUGAUAUGAACCGUUAUAACCGGCGAUUUCCGAAUGGGGAAACCCAGUGUGAUUCGUCACACUAUCAUUAACUGAAUCCAUAGGUUAAUGAGGCGAACCGGGGGAACUGAAACAUCUAAGUACCCCGAGGAAAAGAAAUCAACCGAGAUUCCCCCAGUAGCGGCGAGCGAACGGGGAGCAGCCCAGAGCCUGAAUCAGUGUGUGUGUUAGUGGAAGCGUCUGGAAAGGCGCGCGAUACAGGGUGACAGCCCCGUACACAAAAAUGCACAUGCUGUGAGCUCGAUGAGUAGGGCGGGACACGUGGUAUCCUGUCUGAAUAUGGGGGGACCAUCCUCCAAGGCUAAAUACUCCUGACUGACCGAUAGUGAACCAGUACCGUGAGGGAAAGGCGAAAAGAACCCCGGCGAGGGGAGUGAAAAAGAACCUGAAACCGUGUACGUACAAGCAGUGGGAGCACAGAGCAAUCUGUGUGACUGCGUACCUUUUGUAUAAUGGGUCAGCGACUUAUAUUCUGUAGCAAGGUUAACCGAAUAGGGGAGCCGAAGGGAAACCGAGUCUUAACUGGGCGUUAAGUUGCAGGGUAUAGACCCGAAACCCGGUGAUCUAGCCAUGGGCAGGUUGAAGGUUGGGUAACACUAACUGGAGGACCGAACCGACUAAUGUUGAAAAAUUAGCGGAUGACUUGUGGCUGGGGGUGAAAGGCCAAUCAAACCGGGAGAUAGCUGGUUCUCCCCGAAAGCUAUUUAGGUAGCGCCUCGUGAAUUCAUCUCCGGGGGUAGAGCACUGUUUCGGCAAGGGGGUCAUCCCGACUUACCAACCCGAUGCAAACUGCGAAUACCGGAGAAUGUUAUCACGGGAGACACACGGCGGGUGCUAACGUCCGUCGUGAAGAGGGAAACAACCCAGACCGCCAGCUAAGGUCCCAAAGUCAUGGUUAAGUGGGAAACGAUGUGGGAAGGCCCAGACAGCCAGGAUGUUGGCUUAGAAGCAGCCAUCAUUUAAAGAAAGCGUAAUAGCUCACUGGUCGAGUCGGCCUGCGCGGAAGAUGUAACGGGGCUAAACCAUGCACCGAAGCUGCGGCAGCGACGCUUAUGCGUUGUUGGGUAGGGGAGCGUUCUGUAAGCCUGCGAAGGUGUGCUGUGAGGCAUGCUGGAGGUAUCAGAAGUGCGAAUGCUGACAUAAGUAACGAUAAAGCGGGUGAAAAGCCCGCUCGCCGGAAGACCAAGGGUUCCUGUCCAACGUUAAUCGGGGCAGGGUGAGUCGACCCCUAAGGCGAGGCCGAAAGGCGUAGUCGAUGGGAAACAGGUUAAUAUUCCUGUACUUGGUGUUACUGCGAAGGGGGGACGGAGAAGGCUAUGUUGGCCGGGCGACGGUUGUCCCGGUUUAAGCGUGUAGGCUGGUUUUCCAGGCAAAUCCGGAAAAUCAAGGCUGAGGCGUGAUGACGAGGCACUACGGUGCUGAAGCAACAAAUGCCCUGCUUCCAGGAAAAGCCUCUAAGCAUCAGGUAACAUCAAAUCGUACCCCAAACCGACACAGGUGGUCAGGUAGAGAAUACCAAGGCGCUUGAGAGAACUCGGGUGAAGGAACUAGGCAAAAUGGUGCCGUAACUUCGGGAGAAGGCACGCUGAUAUGUAGGUGAAGUCCCUCGCGGAUGGAGCUGAAAUCAGUCGAAGAUACCAGCUGGCUGCAACUGUUUAUUAAAAACACAGCACUGUGCAAACACGAAAGUGGACGUAUACGGUGUGACGCCUGCCCGGUGCCGGAAGGUUAAUUGAUGGGGUCAGCGCAAGCGAAGCUCUUGAUCGAAGCCCCGGUAAACGGCGGCCGUAACUAUAACGGUCCUAAGGUAGCGAAAUUCCUUGUCGGGUAAGUUCCGACCUGCACGAAUGGCGUAAUGAUGGCCAGGCUGUCUCCACCCGAGACUCAGUGAAAUUGAACUCGCUGUGAAGAUGCAGUGUACCCGCGGCAAGACGGAAAGACCCCGUGAACCUUUACUAUAGCUUGACACUGAACAUUGAGCCUUGAUGUGUAGGAUAGGUGGGAGGCUUUGAAGUGUGGACGCCAGUCUGCAUGGAGCCGACCUUGAAAUACCACCCUUUAAUGUUUGAUGUUCUAACGUGGACCCGUAAUCCGGGUUGCGGACAGUGUCUGGUGGGUAGUUUGACUGGGGCGGUCUCCUCCUAAAGAGUAACGGAGGAGCACGAAGGUUGGCUAAUCCUGGUCGGACAUCAGGAGGUUAGUGCAAUGGCAUAAGCCAGCUUGACUGCGAGCGUGACGGCGCGAGCAGGUGCGAAAGCAGGUCAUAGUGAUCCGGUGGUUCUGAAUGGAAGGGCCAUCGCUCAACGGAUAAAAGGUACUCCGGGGAUAACAGGCUGAUACCGCCCAAGAGUUCAUAUCGACGGCGGUGUUUGGCACCUCGAUGUCGGCUCAUCACAUCCUGGGGCUGAAGUAGGUCCCAAGGGUAUGGCUGUUCGCCAUUUAAAGUGGUACGCGAGCUGGGUUUAGAACGUCGUGAGACAGUUCGGUCCCUAUCUGCCGUGGGCGCUGGAGAACUGAGGGGGGCUGCUCCUAGUACGAGAGGACCGGAGUGGACGCAUCACUGGUGUUCGGGUUGUCAUGCCAAUGGCACUGCCCGGUAGCUAAAUGCGGAAGAGAUAAGUGCUGAAAGCAUCUAAGCACGAAACUUGCCCCGAGAUGAGUUCUCCCUGACCCUUUAAGGGUCCUGAAGGAACGUUGAAGACGACGACGUUGAUAGGCCGGGUGUGUAAGCGCAGCGAUGCGUUGAGCUAACCGGUACUAAUGAACCGUGAGGCUUAACCUU